RNAcentral lists this ribosomal RNA (164 nucleotides) under uncultured bacterium. RNAcentral describes it as "partial 16S rRNA". It matches the Rfam family "Bacterial small subunit ribosomal RNA", at positions 355 to 511 of the family's 1533-position model. The record is from RNAcentral.
UAGGGAAUCUUCCACAAUGGGCGAAAGCCUGAUGGAGCAACGCCGCGUGUGUGAUGAGGGGUUUCGGCUCGUAAAACACCGUUGUAAGAGAAGAAUGACAUUGAGAGUAACUGUUCAAUGUGUGACGGUAUCUUACCAGAAAGGAACGGCUAAAUACGUGCCAG